CCUACGGGAGGCAGCAGUGGGGAAUAUUGGACAAUGGGCGAAAGCCUGAUCCAGCAAUGCCGCGUGAGUGAUGAAGGCCUUCGGGUCGUAAAGCUCUUUUACCAGGGAUGAUAAUGACAGUACCUGGAGAAUAAGCUCCGGCUAACUCCGUGCCAGCAGCCGCGGUAAUACGGAGGGAGCUAGCGUUGUUCGGAAUUACUGGGCGUAAAGAGUACGUAGGCGGUUAUUCAAGUCAGAGGUGAAAGCCCGGGGCUCAACCCCGGAACUGCCUUUGAAACUAGAUAACUAGAGUCUUGGAGAGGUUAGUGGAAUUCCGAGUGUAGAGGUGAAAUUCGUAGAUAUUCGGAAGAACACCAGUGGCGAAGGCGACUAACUGGACAAGUACUGACGCUGAGGUACGAAAGCGUGGGGAGCAAACAGGAUUAGAUACCCUGGUAGUCCACGCCGUAAACGACUGAUAACUAGUUGUUACGGUCACUUGGUGACUGAGUGACGCAGCUAACGCAUUAAGUUAUCCGCCUGGGGAGUACGGUCGCAAGAUUAAAACUCAAAGGAAUUGACGGCUGAGACGUUGCGAGACGACGACGAGGGAGGAGG
This 597-nucleotide ribosomal RNA is filed under the name uncultured bacterium. Its description in RNAcentral is "bacterial SSU rRNA". It matches the Rfam family "Bacterial small subunit ribosomal RNA", at positions 338 to 957 of the family's 1533-position model. The record is from RNAcentral.